Molecule: long non-coding RNA, 150 nt
Organism: Triticum aestivum (bread wheat)
Lineage: Eukaryota; Viridiplantae; Streptophyta; Magnoliopsida; Poales; Poaceae
Exons: 3
Source: RefSeq, a predicted model, not a curated record
CCCGGAACUCUAGAAAUCGUGAAGAAUUUCUUCCAUUUUUUUUAAUAUCGCGAAUAUAGUGGAAAAAACUCUAGAACAUUCCUUUGAAUCGAAUUGUUCAUUGGGUUCGACUUGUUGUUUGACAAAAUAGAAAGCUGAGAUUGGAAGAGC